AGAGUUUGAUCCUGGCUCAGGACGAACGCUGGCGGCGUGCCUAAUACAUGCAAGUUGAGCGCUGAAGGUUGGUACUUGUACCGACUGGAUGAGCAGCGAACGGGUGAGUAACGCGUGGGGAAUCUGCCUUUGAGCGGGGGACAACAUUUGGAAACGAAUGCUAAUACCGCAUAAAAACUUUAAACACAAGUUUUAAGUUUGAAAGAUGCAAUUGCAUCACUCAAAGAUGAUCCCGCGUUGUAUUAGCUAGUUGGUGAGGUAAAGGCUCACCAAGGCGAUGAUACAUAGCCGACCUGAGAGGGUGAUCGGCCACAUUGGGACUGAGACACGGCCCAAACUCCUACGGGAGGCAGCAGUAGGGAAUCUUCGGCAAUGGACGAAAGUCUGACCGAGCAACGCCGCGUGAGUGAAGAAGGUUUUCGGAUCGUAAAACUCUGUUGGUAGAGAAGAACGUUGGUGAGAGUGGAAAGCUCAUCAAGUGACGGUAACUACCCAGAAAGGGACGGCUAACUACGUGCCAGCAGCCGCGGUAAUACGUAGGUCCCGAGCGUUGUCCGGAUUUAUUGGGCGUAAAGCGAGCGCAGGUGGUUUAUUAAGUCUGGUGUAAAAGGCAGUGGCUCAGCCAUUGUAUGCAUUGGAAACUGGUAGACUUGAGUGCAGGAGAGGAGAGUGGAAUUCCAUGUGUAGCGGUGAAAUGCGUAGAUAUAUGGAGGAACACCGGUGGCGAAAGCGGCUCUCUGGCCUGUAACUGACACUGAGGCUCGAAAGCGUGGGGAGCAAACAGGAUUAGAUACCCUGGUAGUCCACGCCGUAAACGAUGAGUGCUAGAUGUAGGGAGCUAUAAGUUCUCUGUAUCGCAGCUAACGCAAUAAGCACUCCGCCUGGGGAGUACGACCGCAAGGUUGAAACUCAAAGGAAUUGACGG
This 925-nucleotide ribosomal RNA is filed under the name uncultured bacterium. RNAcentral describes it as "bacterial SSU rRNA". It matches the Rfam family "Bacterial small subunit ribosomal RNA", at positions 8 to 916 of the family's 1533-position model. The record is from RNAcentral.